This 274-nucleotide ribosomal RNA is filed under the name uncultured bacterium. Its description in RNAcentral is "partial 16S ribosomal RNA". It matches the Rfam family "Bacterial small subunit ribosomal RNA", at positions 81 to 353 of the family's 1533-position model. The record is from RNAcentral.
AAGUUUGAUGGCGACCGGCGCACGGGUGAGUAACACGUAUCCAACCUGCCGAUGACUCGGGGAUAGCCUUUCGAAAGAAAGAUUAAUACCCGAUGGCAUAGUUCUUCCGCAUGGUAGAACUAUUAAAGGAUUUCGGUCAUCGAUGGGGAUGCGUUCCAUUAGGUUGUUGGCGGGGUAACGGGCCCACCAAGCCUUCGAUGGAUAGGGGUUCUGAGAGGAAGGUCCCCCACAUUGGAACUGAGACACGGUCCAAACUCCUACGGGAGGCAGCAUG